Vitis vinifera (wine grape) is the source of this 3682-nucleotide long non-coding RNA. RefSeq lists it as uncharacterized. The transcript has 4 exons. NCBI's taxonomy places the organism in Eukaryota, Viridiplantae, Streptophyta, Magnoliopsida, Vitales, Vitaceae. The record is from RefSeq and is a predicted model, not a curated record.
CAUGCCCACCUAACUCAAAUAUAUAUGAAAUUCCCUUGCAGCUGCAGUUGCUUUUUUCGAAGCUUUCAGAUUCUGGGUGAUUUUUUAGUCUAUAAUAAACUGAAUUUGACAGGAACUUUGAGGAUGGCCCCUAUUGGGAUAAAGAGAAAGAGUUGCCAUAAACCAAGGAGAUGCAUUGUUCUGAAACAUUUCUCAAAAUUUUAUCAUCAAAUACCUGCAAAAACAGCCACAUUUUCUGAAAUUUCUUGCAGCAAAGCCAGUGCAGAUUGGUCGUAAAAUUGAUUUUCUACUAGCAAGUCUAAGUUCUAAUAUAUGAGCCCCCUUUAACUUAGUGAUUUUUUGAGAAUAAAGCAAAUAUGCAAUGACUGUUAGUAUUUUUUGUCAAGGAUUUAUCUAUUAGUGAUGAUAUUGAACUUGUGUGCCUUUUCUUUCUUUCUUUUUUUCCUUUUUUUUUUAGGUGUUUGUUGAUUGUUUUUGGGUUGUUUGAUUGGUCCAGGAAUAUCAGAUUGGGUAAUGGGUUCUUAAUUUAAAGCUAUGUUUUUGUAACAACUGGUGGGUGGAGUGAUGGGUUGGGUGUUCUCUGAAGUUAUUCUGGUCUUCUUGCUUCUUGCUGCUACAAUUGCUACAGUUGAACCCAAUGCUGUAAGCAAUUUCUGGAUAAUGGAGUAAAAUGAGACAAUUUUCUAGGGUUUUGAGGGUUGAAGUUUGUAUUUCUGAUACAUAUUUGAAUCUAUCCAUGCCCAUCCUCAUUUGAGUUGAAUUGUUGGACCAAAUCUCGUGUUUGUUCUUCUGGGCUUAUGUAAGUUCUGCAGAUUUCUCAGUAAAGUCCCAUUGGGUGACCACAAAUUGAAUCUUGGUCUCUGUACUAUCAUUUGGUGGGGAUAUCCUAAUUGGGAUUCUGGCUUUACUAGAUCUAUUGGGUUCUUUGCAGAAAUCAAUAAUAUUAGUUACCCUCCAAUUGGUUGCUGAGAUAACUAAGAAAUUAAUUUUUUUAAACUUAAGUCUUACCUCCUGGGUUGAUUUUGUUUCCAGAAAAAUGGAGGCAUAAGAGGAAGAGAACCCUCCUUAGCUAGACUUUAUGUUGUUUUUCAGGUUACAGACAAAAUAUUAAUGUUUCUUUUCGUAGUAAUUGUGGAUGUAGGACAUAUGUUUGAUAAUGUGUUAUAAUGAUAUUUUCAUGUUAAUUUUCUCAUCAUGAAUGCCGAUUCUCGGGUCUUAACUACCAAUAUCUAAAGUGCAAAUUCUGAUAAAAAUAAGUAUGCUAAGUAUGUUAAUCCUUCUGACAAAAAUUAUUCACUUUUACGGAUAAUUAUUUCAAUUUUCUCUUGGUUUUUCAACUAGACUAAUUGUAUGCACUUGCAGUUUUGUUUCUCCUCGGUGGUUUCUCCCAUGUCUGUUUUCCCAUUUGGCCAGGAUAUUUUCCCUUAAUUUUCUCUGUUUGUUUCUCAUGGUUAAGGAGAGCAUUGUUUAUGGUUGGGACCUCAAAGUACCAAUUUAGCUACUAGUUUGUUGUGCAUGUCUCCUAACUGCUGGAUUGGUAUUCAUCAAGUCGUAAUAAGGCAAUUGGAGUUAGGCUUUUGCUCCUCCAAAUAAUCAACCCUAUAAUGCCAUAUGUUAACCAGUAAAAGGACUACCAUAUCAGUGUACAGCAUUGUAUUCCCCAUGAACUUGGAAUUAAUUUCAUUUAAAUAUGGCUGUCAUAUAGUUGGUUAUAAUUUUGUUAUCCUUUUCAUUCUCUGUCUUUAAAUGAUAUGAGAGGCUUCUGUGUUGGUUGCAGGAAUGUUAAUGGAUCUUGUUUCUCCUUUGUUCCCUUUGGCGUUUGUGUUCAUAGUUUGCUUAAGGAGCAUAUCAAGAUUGUUCAGUAAGGUUUUGUACACUCCAAUUCAUUGUUACAAAAUGAAAAGCUACUAAGAUCUGGGAAGUGCUACUUUCUGAUUUUUAUUGCCCUAGCUCAUGUAUUUGAUUAAACUCUAUGUAUUUUGGUGAACAUGACAGGUUAAUAUGUUAAUACUGUUUGUGAUCUCAACAUUUGUUUGGUAGUCAAUACUGUCAGUGGAAUUGAAAAUAUUUCUGCUGAAUAAGAAUAAUGCACAUUGUGUUGGUGUUUCUUAUCAAAAUCUAAUUUUACACUCUUCAAAAUUAGCUGGUGUUGCAAGCAGAGCAACUAGAGCUGCAUUGACAAGGUGUGAGUAUAAGCAUUCUGAGCUGGAUGGAAAUCAUAUGAGCUUAUGAUUAAGUAACUAGUUCUAUACUUUGAUAGGAAGGAUGUCAGGAGACAGUAGAGACAAUGGUUGGUAUGGCUUUCGGAUUGCUUCUUGCUCACAUUACAAUGGGACUCUCUGUAGCUAUUUGGUUCUCUUUCCUGUCUCUCACCAUGUUUCAUAUGUAUGGACAGACCUCUUAUGUUCUGCAGAAUCUCAUUAUAAGAAAGCCAAGUAUUUGCUGCUGGAAAGGAAGGGACUCAUCAGCAUUAUUAUGCAUAAAGAUUCAACGUCUUCAUAUGUCUUGCAAUCAUUCAUUCAUGCACUUGUGAUGGCAAACCUAGUGGAUAAAAACAGAUCUAAACAUUUGGAGAGUCAAUCAUGGAUGGAUGGAUGAACACUAAGAAGUUUUUCUUCUUAAGGUAUUGUUUGGUGGAUUUUCAACUUCGAUUAUGAUGGUCAACUGCAGUAUGCUAUAAGUAUAAUGUUCUAGAAGCUGACAACAUGAUAUAAAUAUCCAUAUUCGGAUGGUCGUGACUGCUCCCAAAAUAGUGUAUUUUUGCCUAAAAGACCUAAUAAUUGGUCCAAGCAUGCUUGAAUUGGCCUAUGGAAAUUGGUUUUAGAUCUUGCAGCUUGCCAGUGGCCAUACUGAAUGUUACAUGAUUCAUAAAGGCAACCAUGUUGCCUGUUCAUACUGUGUUCUGGCGGCAGUGAUUGGUCAGUGGACAAACCUGGAAGGAGCGAUUGAAAGAAGAGCUACUAAAUGCACUAAAAAAAGAAAAGAAGAAGGAAGCCAAAACAGAUACUACUUUUUCCUCUACAGUCAUCAGGUCAAUUAUUUGGAGGGCAAAUUGGCUAUGUGGGUCUUCAGAUGAAAAGAUUGACCAGGUAAUCUCUAGUUAACAGCAUGGAUGAUGGAAUUCAUCUAAUUAUCGUGACUGGGAAAGGUGAAAUUGGCAGACAUUCUGUCUGGAAGCUAAGUGCUGUGACCAUGAAGACUAAUACUUGGUUUUGGUUCCUCGGCCAAGAGAUUAAAAUUUAUAGAUGCUCUAGUAUGAAAUUAUUACUUGAUUGACAAGCAGUUCUCGUACUAAAUUUUUAGAUGCGAAACUACAUUUUUUAUCAGAACUUUUCUAUGGUCUUUACGACAUUAACUAGUUGCCAAUCUUAGAAUGACCACAUCACAGUACAGAACAUCAUUACCAAAAACAAGUUUCUGGGCAAAAGGAUGGAAGCUUCAUUCUGCACUGUGAUAAUGGUACUUCAUAAGUAGGAGCUUGUCAACUUGGAAUUUCCAUUGUAGAGGAACAGCUGUAGAGGAGGUGAGUCUGCUAUACAAAGUAUACAACAGUCUCUUUCAGUUUUCUAAUGGAUUGAUGUAUCUAUAGCUGGUGAAACUCGAAUGCUAAACUGUAAUCCUUUUUAAUUGUAGUCUGGUUCUUGAUUUGGGAAGAGGAUGAAAGCCUCUUCAGUUAAUGAAA